UCUCCUGAAGCUCAAUGGUAGAGCGUCCGACCAGUGUGCGGAAGAUCAUAGGUCAGUUGAUUCCAGUUGGGAGAA
This is a non-coding RNA of Desmophyllum pertusum, 75 nucleotides long. The record is from the annotation of a GenBank genome assembly. NCBI's taxonomy places the organism in Eukaryota, Metazoa, Cnidaria, Anthozoa, Scleractinia, Caryophylliidae.